RNAcentral lists this ribosomal RNA (540 nucleotides) under uncultured bacterium. RNAcentral describes it as "bacterial SSU rRNA". It matches the Rfam family "Bacterial small subunit ribosomal RNA", at positions 8 to 525 of the family's 1533-position model. The record is from RNAcentral.
AGAGUUUGAUCCUGGCUCAGAACGAACGCUGGCGGCGUGCCUAACACAUGCAAGUCGAACGGAGAUAAGGGGCUUGCUCCUUAUUUUAGUGGCGCACGGGUGAGUAACGCGUGGAUAAUCUACCUUGGAAUCUGGGAUAACAUCUCGAAAGGGGUGCUAAUACCGGAUAAGACCACGAGCUCUUCGGAGUUUGCGGUAAAAGGGGGCCUCUGUAUAUGCUUCUGUUUCAAGAUGAGUCCGCGUACCAUUAGCUAGUUGGCAGGGUAAUGGCCUACCAAGGCGACGAUGGUUAGCUGGUCUGAGAGGAUGAUCAGCCACACUGGAACUGAGACACGGUCCAGACUCCUACGGGAGGCAGCAGUGGGGAAUUUUGCGCAAUGGGGGAAACCCUGACGCAGCAACGCCGCGUGAGUGAUGAAGGCCUUCGGGUCGUAAAGCUCUGUCAGAGGGAAAGAAGUGUGGGAGGGUUAAUACCCCCUUCACUUGACGGUACCCUCAAAGGAAGCACCGGCUAACUCCGUGCCAGCAGCCGCGGUAAUA